Molecule: small nuclear RNA, 109 nt
Organism: Suncus etruscus (white-toothed pygmy shrew)
Lineage: Eukaryota; Metazoa; Chordata; Mammalia; Eulipotyphla; Soricidae
Source: RefSeq, a predicted model, not a curated record
CCAUCUUCUGUGCUCGCUUCGGCAGCACAGGAAUGAUACAGAGAAGAUUAGCGUGGCCCCUGUGCAAGGAUGACAAGCAAAAUGAUCGAUCUCCUUUGAAUAAAAUCUU